GAUGAAGAACGCAGCGAAAUGCGAUACGUAAUGUGAAUUGCAGAAUUCAGUGAAUCAUCGAGUCUUUGAACGCACAUUGCGCCCCCUGGUAUUCCGGGGGGCAUGCCUGUCCGAGCGUCAUUGCUGCCCUCAAGCACGGCUUGUGUGUUGGGCCUCCGUCCUCCGAUCCCGGGGGACGGGCCCGAAAGGCAGCGGCGGCACCGCGUCCGGUCCUCGAGCGUAUGGGGCUUUGUCACCCGCUCUGUAGGCCCGGCCGGCGCUUGCCGAUCAACCCAAAUUUUUAUCCAGGUUGACCUCGGAUCAGGUAGGGAUACCCGCUGAACUUAAGCAUAUCAAUAAGCGGAGGA
Molecule: unclassified non-coding RNA, 347 nt
Filed under: soil metagenome
Description: partial contains 5.8S ribosomal RNA, internal transcribed spacer 2, and large subunit ribosomal RNA
Rfam family: 5.8S ribosomal RNA (bases 1-120)
Source: RNAcentral